CGUGGACAAGCCCCGUGCGAAGAAGUCCUUCCAGUGCGGCUACCAAGGCUGCGAGCGAGUCUUCAGGAAGAAGUCGGCCCUGCGGGCCCACUGGCCCGAGCACAGCAAGGUGCUGCCGUUCGCGUGCCAGGAGCCCGGCUGCACCAGGAAGUUCGCCAGCGCGGCCAAGAGGAGAGAGCACCAGAGGAGACACGCUG
Molecule: non-coding RNA, 197 nt
Organism: Pelodiscus sinensis (Chinese soft-shelled turtle)
Lineage: Eukaryota; Metazoa; Chordata; Testudines; Trionychidae
Source: RefSeq, a predicted model, not a curated record